AAACUCAAAUGAAUUGACGGGGAGCACCACAACGGGUGGAGCUUGCGGUUUAAUUGGAUUCAACGCCGGAAAUCUUACCGGGACCGACAGCAAUAUGAAGGCCAGGCUGAAGACUUUGCCGGAUUAGCUGAGAGGUGGUGCAUGGCCGUCGUCAGUUCGUACUGUGAAGCAUCCUGUUAAGUCAGGUAACGAGCGAGACCCACGCCCACAGUUGCCAGCGUACUCUCCGGAGUGACGGGUACACUGUGGGGACCGCCGCUGCUAAAGCGGAGGAAGGAAUGGGCAACGGUAGGUCAGUAUGCCCCGAAUAUCCCGGGCUACACGCGAGCUACAAUGGUUGGUACAAUGGGUAUCGACACCGAAAGGUGAAGGCAAUCUCCUAAACCCAUCCGUAGUUCGGAUUGUGGGCUGCAACCUCGCCACAUGAAGCUGGAAUCUGUAGUAAUCGUGUCUCAAAAUAGGCACGGUGAAUAGUGUCCCUGCUCCUU
This 488-nucleotide ribosomal RNA is filed under the name uncultured Methanolinea sp. Its description in RNAcentral is "bacterial SSU rRNA". It matches the Rfam family "Archaeal small subunit ribosomal RNA", at positions 852 to 1338 of the family's 1478-position model. Lineage: Archaea; Methanobacteriati; Methanobacteriota; Methanomicrobia; Methanomicrobiales; Methanoregulaceae. The record is from RNAcentral.